CCUACGGGCGGCUGCAGUGAGGAAUAUUGGUCAAUGGACGAGAGUCUGAACCAGCCAAGCCGCGUGAAGGAUGACUGCCCUAUGGGUUGUAAACUUCUUUUAUAUGGGAAUAAAAUGUUCCACGUGUGGGAUUUUGUAUGUACCAUAUGAAUAAGGAUCGGCUAACUCCGUGCCAGCAGCCGAGGUAAUACGGAGGAUACGAGCGUUAUCCGGAUUUAUUGGGUUUAAAGGGAGCGUAGGUGGCUUGUUAAGUCAGUUGUGAAAGUUUGCGGCUCAACCGUAAAAUUGCAGUUGAAACUGGCAGUCUUGAGUACAGUAGAGGUGGGCGGAAUUCGUGGUGUAGCGGUGAAAUGCUUAGAUAUCACGAAGAACCCCGAUUGCGAAGGCAGUUCACUGGACUGCAACUGACACUGAGGCUCGAAAGUGUGGGUAUCAAACAGGAUUAGAUACCCUUGUAGUC
This 460-nucleotide ribosomal RNA is filed under the name uncultured bacterium. RNAcentral's name for it is "partial 16S ribosomal RNA". It matches the Rfam family "Bacterial small subunit ribosomal RNA", at positions 338 to 795 of the family's 1533-position model. The record is from RNAcentral.